This 460-nucleotide ribosomal RNA is filed under the name uncultured bacterium. RNAcentral's name for it is "bacterial SSU rRNA". It matches the Rfam family "Bacterial small subunit ribosomal RNA", at positions 338 to 795 of the family's 1533-position model. The record is from RNAcentral.
CCUACGGGGGGCAGCAGUGAGGAAUAUUGGUCAAUGGAGGCAACUCUGAACCAGCCAUGCCGCGUGCAGGAAGAAUGCCCUAUGGGUUGUAAACUGCUUUUAUUUAGGAAGAAUCCCCAGUACGUGUACUGGGUUGACGGUACUAAACGAAUAAGGACCGGCUAACUCCGUGCCAGCAGCCGCGGUAAUACGGAGGGUCCAAGCGUUAUCCGGAAUCAUUGGGUUUAAAGGGUCCGCAGGCGGGCUAUUAAGUCAGUGGUGAAAUCUCUUGGCUUAACCAAGAAAUUGCCAUUGAAACUACUAGUCUUGAAUUCGGUCGAAGUGGGCGGAAUGUGUCAUGUAGCGGUGAAAUGCAUAGAUAUGACACAGAACACCGAUAGCGAAGGCAGCUCACUAGGCCUGAAUUGACGCUCAGGGACGAAAGCGUGGGGAGCGAACAGGAUUAGAUACCCGUGUAGUC